This 889-nucleotide ribosomal RNA is filed under the name uncultured Bacillota bacterium. RNAcentral's name for it is "bacterial SSU rRNA". It matches the Rfam family "Bacterial small subunit ribosomal RNA", at positions 15 to 917 of the family's 1533-position model. Lineage: Bacteria; Bacillati; Bacillota. The record is from RNAcentral.
GAUUCUGGCUCAGGACGAACGCUGGCGGCGCGCCUAACACAUGCAAGUCGAACGGAGCUUAGAGAGCUUGCUUUUUAAGCUUAGUGGCGAACGGGUGAGUAACGCGUGAGUAACCUGCCCUAGAGUGGGGGACAACAGUUGGAAACGACUGCUAAUACCGCAUAAGCCCACGGUACCGCAUGGCACUGAGGGAAAAGGAUUUAUUCGCUUUAGGAUGGACUCGCGUCCAAUUAGCUAGUUGGUGAGGUAACGGCCCACCAAGGCGACGAUUGGUAGCCGGACUGAGAGGUUGAACGGCCACAUUGGGACUGAGACACGGCCCAGACUCCUACGGGAGGCAGCAGUGGGGGAUAUUGCACAAUGGGGGAAACCCUGAUGCAGCGACGCCGCGUGGAGGAAGAAGGUUUUCGGAUUGUAAACUCCUGUCGUUAGGGACGAUAAUGACGGUACCUAACAAGAAAGCACCGGCUAACUACGUGCCAGCAGCCGCGGUAAAACGUAGGGUGCAAGCGUUGUCCGGAAUUACUGGGUGUAAAGGGAGCGCAGGCGGGAAGACAAGUUGGAAGUGAAAACCAUGGGCUCAACCCAUGAAUUGCUUUCAAAACUGUUUUUCUUGAGUAGUGCAGAGGUAGAUGGAAUUCCCGGUGUAGCGGUGGAAUGCGUAGAUAUCGGGAGGAACACCAGUGGCGAAGGCGGUCUACUGGGCACCAACUGACGCUGAGGCUCGAAAGCAUGGGUAGCAAACAGGAUUAGAUACCCUGGUAGUCCAUGCCGUAAACGAUGAUUACUAGGUGUUGGGGGAUUGACCCCCUCAGUGCCGCAGUUAACACAAUAAGUAAUCCACCUGGGGAGUACGACCGCAAGGUUGCAACUCAAAUGAAUUGACGGA